Molecule: transfer RNA, 76 nt
Filed under: Escherichia coli
Lineage: Bacteria; Pseudomonadati; Pseudomonadota; Gammaproteobacteria; Enterobacterales; Enterobacteriaceae
Also listed under: 3 other names
Description: tRNA-Met
Rfam family: tRNA
About the family: Transfer RNA (tRNA) molecules are approximately 80 nucleotides in length. Their secondary structure includes four short double-helical elements and three loops (D, anti-codon, and T loops).
Source: RNAcentral
GGCCCCUUAGCUCAGUGGUUAGAGCAAGCGACUCAUAAUCGCUUGGUCGCUGGUUCAAGUCCAGCAGGGGCCACCA